Molecule: ribosomal RNA, 474 nt
Filed under: uncultured bacterium
Lineage: Bacteria
Description: SSU rRNA
Rfam family: Bacterial small subunit ribosomal RNA
Source: RNAcentral
AGGACGAACGCUGGCGGCGUGCUUAACACAUGCAAGUCGAGCGGAAAGGCCCUUCGGGGUACUCGAGCGGCGAACGGGUGAGUAACACGUGGGCAACCUGCCCUUAGCUCUGGGAUAGCUCCGGGAAACCGGAAUUAAUACCGGAUAUGACCUGGGCCGACAUCGGCCGUGGUGGAAAGUUUUUCGGCUAGGGAUGGACUCGCGGCCUAUCAGCUAGUUGGUGGGGUAAUGGCCUACCAAGGCGACGACGGGUAGCCGGCCUGAGAGGGCGACCGGCCACACUGGGACUGAGACACGGCCCAGACUCCUACGGGAGGCAGCAGUGGGGAAUCUUGCGCAAUGGGCGAAAGCCUGACGCAGCGACGCCGCGUGGGGGAUGAAGGCCUUCGGGUUGUAAACCCCUUUCAGCAGGGACGAAGCGAAAGUGACGGUACCUGCAGAAGAAGCGCCGGCUAACUACGCGCCAGCAGCCGC